GUCCAUGUAGCUUAAAACAAAGCGAGGCACUGAAAAUGCCUACAUGAGCCCAAGAGGCUCCGUGAACA
This 68-nucleotide transfer RNA is filed under the name Cabassous unicinctus (southern naked-tailed armadillo). Its description in RNAcentral is "tRNA-Phe". Lineage: Eukaryota; Metazoa; Chordata; Mammalia; Cingulata; Chlamyphoridae. The record is from RNAcentral.